This 721-nucleotide ribosomal RNA is filed under the name Fictibacillus phosphorivorans. RNAcentral's name for it is "bacterial SSU rRNA". It matches the Rfam family "Bacterial small subunit ribosomal RNA", at positions 19 to 723 of the family's 1533-position model. The record is from RNAcentral. Lineage: Bacteria; Bacillati; Bacillota; Bacilli; Caryophanales; Fictibacillaceae.
UUGGCUCAGGAUGAACGCUGGCGGCGUGCCUAAUACAUGCAAGUCGAGCGAAUGAUGAGGAGCUUGCUCCUCUGAUUUAGCGGCGGACGGGUGAGUAACACGUGGGUAAUCUGCCUGUAAGACGGGGAUAACUCCGGGAAACCGGGGCUAAUACCGGAUAAUAAGAGAAGAAGCAUUUCUUCUUUUUGAAAGUCGGUUUCGGCUGACACUUACAGAUGAGCCCGCGGCGCAUUAGCUAGUUGGUGAGGUAACGGCUCACCAAGGCGACGAUGCGUAGCCGACCUGAGAGGGUGAUCGGCCACACUGGGACUGAGACACGGCCCAGACUCCUACGGGAGGCAGCAGUAGGGAAUCUUCGGCAAUGGGCGAAAGCCUGACCGAGCAACGCCGCGUGAGCGAUGAAGGCCUUCGGGUCGUAAAGCUCUGUUGUUAGAGAAGAACAAGUACGAGAGUAACUGCUCGUACCUUGACGGUACCUAACCAGAAAGCCACGGCUAACUACGUGCCAGCAGCCGCGGUAAUACGUAGGUGGCAAGCGUUAUCCGGAAUUAUUGGGCGUAAAGCGCGCGCAGGCGGUCUCUUAAGUCUGAUGUGAAAGCCCACGGCUCAACCGUGGAGGGUCAUUGGAAACUGGGAGACUUGAGUGCAGGAGAGAAAAGUGGAAUUCCACGUGUAGCGGUGAAAUGCGUAGAGAUGUGGAGGAACACCAGUGGCGAAGGGU